CCAAAAUGUCAAUUUUUAGAAACUGUUUUUGGGUAUCCCUUUUGACAGUGGAAAAUAAAUUUAAUUUUUUUACAGAUUAUGCUUCAAUACACUUGCCAGGAAUUUUAGUGAUUAUAAGGCUACGGGAAGUGCCAAAUCAAAGGGUUCUUCUACUUAAAUCCCUCCAACCAUCUGAAACGACAGAUACCACAACACCCGUACUGCACGGUGAGUCAUCCCCAGUGACCCUUGUGGACUGAAUGAAGGUGGAGCUGACAACCUGGAGUAAAGUUUUAAGUCAGUCGAUAAGACAGGACUCUGAGUCUGCCCUGUGAAUGCCUUCACUCCUUUGAAAAUAUUACUAAACAUCUGCUGUGUGCCAGAUGUGUUGGUGAGUCCUGAGGCCAAGAAGAGAGCCGCCAGGAUGAUGGAGCCUAAGAAGCUGCUCCACUCGG
This 434-nucleotide long non-coding RNA is filed under the name Macaca mulatta (Rhesus monkey). RNAcentral's name for it is "lncRNA (ENSMMUG00000064292.1)". The record is from RNAcentral. Lineage: Eukaryota; Metazoa; Chordata; Mammalia; Primates; Cercopithecidae.